GGGUUGUGAGGUUAAGCGACUAAGCGUACACGGUGGAUGCCCUGGCAGUCAGAGGCGAUGAAGGACGUGCUAAUCUGCGAUAAGCGUCGGUAAGGUGAUAUGAACCGUUAUAACCGGCGAUUUCCGAAUGGGGAAACCCAGUGUGUUUCGACACACUAUCAUUAACUGAAUCCAUAGGUUAAUGAGGCGAACCGGGGGAACUGAAACAUCUAAGUACCCCGAGGAAAAGAAAUCAACCGAGAUUCCCCCAGUAGCGGCGAGCGAACGGGGAGGAGCCCAGAGCCUGAAUCAGUGUGUGUGUUAGUGGAAGCGUCUGGAAAGGCGCGCGAU
RNAcentral lists this ribosomal RNA (330 nucleotides) under Escherichia coli. RNAcentral's name for it is "partial 23S ribosomal RNA". It matches the Rfam family "Bacterial large subunit ribosomal RNA", at positions 1 to 358 of the family's 2925-position model. Lineage: Bacteria; Pseudomonadati; Pseudomonadota; Gammaproteobacteria; Enterobacterales; Enterobacteriaceae. The record is from RNAcentral.